This is an RNA transcript of Malaclemys terrapin pileata, 3111 nucleotides long. RefSeq lists it as uncharacterized. NCBI's taxonomy places the organism in Eukaryota, Metazoa, Chordata, Testudines, Emydidae. The transcript has 4 exons. The record is from RefSeq and is a predicted model, not a curated record.
AUGGCUAUGUUUACCUGUUAGUCUUCCUGUAUAUGUGUGUGCUGACAAGUGGGCAAUGAAGUCUUGCAGUGACAUGUGAUCAUGUCACCUGAACUGGAAUUCAUCUUUAACCUGGUGCUUUUCCAGUGAGGGGGGGGUGGAAACCCAGAGGGACAAAGGGUUCCCACCUUAAGCAAAAGGUAUAUAAAGGGGUGGAAGAGAACAAGGGGAGGGAGGAGCUAUCAUGAAGAAUCCCCUAGCUAUCACCUGUGCUGCAACAAGAGCUGUACCAGGGAAAAGAAUUGUGCCCAGGCCUGGAAGGUGUCCAGUCUGAGAAAAAACUUACUGAAGCAUCUCUGAGGAGCAGGCUUGCCAUAAGGAAGCACUGCACCAUUCUAGUUUCUUUGAGGUCUCAAUGUACAAGGAAGUAACUGUUAAUAAUCAACACUCGCUGCAAGAUCGAGAGAGAGCUGUGCUGCUGAAAAGCAGGUGUGCUUCAUAUUGUGUGUAACCCUCUGGGUACUGAUGAAACAAAUAGAAGUUUCACAGCCAUGGAUAAUACAAGGACUCAAGACACUAUUCCUCAGAACCUGUAGGAUAUUUUCACUGAAGACCAUAUACAGAGGAAGUGGAACAUAUGAAUCAAAGUGGUUUCUGUUGAAAGCAGAUAAGCUCCCUCAGUACCAGAUUCAUACCUCAUGUAAGCGGCUGCAACUCCACCAAAGGCAAAGAGAUUUCACCACUGACACCAGCUUCAUCGAUACGCGGCGCCAUUCCAGGCUCUCCCCUUGGACCAGACCGUGCAUCCGUUCCGGAUCGGUGACCAGGUCCUUGUCAAGAAGUGGAAACGCGACCCCCUUACGCCAAGGUGGGACGGUCCACACACCGUUUCGCUCAUCAGCCAGGCCGCAGUUAAAAUUCUCGGGAGCGACAAAUGGACACAUCGCACCCGGAUAAAGCGGUUUCUGAAUCCUGACCAGGGAACCAAUCCCACGGAAGAGGACACCGGCCCUCUGCCCGCCCCGGCCCCGGAAGCCCGGGGUGGCAUGGGCGAAGACACCGUCUGGGAGUAUCAAGGACUCGAUGGGCUAAAAGGACUGUUUAGGAAAAAACCAAUAAUGAACUCAUUAUUGAUAUUUCUGUUCAUAGGUGUCUAUCACGGCUAUGGUUGGGAGAAUAGGUUUAUACAACUGGGAGAAACAAUAGCGAGUUCCUUCAAUCUUAGUAGCUGCUGGGUUUGUGGAGGUCCAGGGGAUUGGAAUGAAUGGCCUUGGGUAGCCCAGCCAGUGCCAGCUAAAUGGUGGAUUAGUAAUUUAAGUAUAGUCCACAAAGGAACAGAAGUUUGGGAUGAGGAUAGUAGCCCUUGGUGACUCUAUUCCUCUGAGAUGGGGAUCCUUUGUCUAAACCGAACAAAACAAGAAGGGGUAUAUGUGGGCAAAAGCCGAUGUGACUGGACCCUAUCUCUAGGAUUUGACUGCUAUGAUCACCCUAGUUGCCAUACGUAUGACUGUUCUAAAUAUCAAGGACGAUGGAACCAUACCCACGUAAAACUCACUAAUCAUAGCUGGGUACAAUGUUCCUACCAACAGCAUACUGGCGAAGGCUGUAAGGCAGUUGGACAAGAUGGGUUCUUUGAUGCCCUCUUUCUAAGUUGCCAGCGAGAUAAUACCGACAGUAAGGAUCACGUGGUACGCUGGUAUCAGUGGGCAUGGCAACAUUCUAAUGGAACUCGGGUAACCCAUUUUAAUCAUUUUUGGUCUACUACCAAUAGCCCUAAAUUUGGUUGUAACUGCGCUUGGAAGGAAGGGGCUGGGCCUUGGAAAUGUGACUAUUGUAAUCCUGACGGUACAUCUAUUGUAUUAGGGGGACCCCUGGAGAUGGGUAACUCUUUGUAUUACGAAGAACCGGGCCCCGAGGACUACCCCGAAGCCUGGGAUGGCCCCUUUGCGAAUGGACAAUGGGCCCUAAAAGGCCAUUACUGAAUAUGUGGGCAACAUGCUUAUCGGAGAUUGCCUCCAAAUUGGUCGGGAAUAUGUUAUGUUGGGUACAUUAGGCCCUUGUUCUUUCUACUACCCCAAAUUCAGGGAAAUAAGUUAGGAAUUAAGGUAUAUGACGACUUGAUUAGGGAAAGGCGGUCCGUUGAUUCCGCAUUAACAGCUGGAAGCUCCCAAAAGUGGGGAGCUCAAGAGUGGCCCCCUGAAAGAAUUAUACAAAAUAUGGUCCAGCCACAUGGAAUCCUAAUGAGUGGAUCUCAGGGGCAAGGGAGCCCAUUUACAACUUGAAUCGGAUAAUUAGGCUGCAAGCCAUCUUAGAAAUAAUAACUAAUCAGACGGCUGCAGCUCUUGAUCUUUUGGCCGAUCAGUCCACUCAGAUGAGGAAUGUGCUCUACCAGCACCAUCUAGUUCUUGAUUAUUUGCUGGCAGAGGAAGGGGGAAUCUGUGCAAAAUUAAACGAAUCUAAUUGCUGUUUACAAAUAGAUGAUAAUGGAAAGGCGGUAAAACAGCUAACAAAAGAAAUGAGGAAGCUAGCCCAUGUCCCGGUCCAAGCAUGGGGUGGGUGGAAUACGGACUGGUUCCCGUCCUGGUUACCGCAACUGGGAUGGCUACGAGAAGGCCUUCUUCUCUUUAUACUCUUUACUACAACCCUAUUAACCCUAGCUUGCUUUGCUCCCUGUGUAGUUGCAUUAGUCCGACGAAUGGCUAAUCAAAUUGUACGCCAACGCAUGAUGGCACUAUAUCAAUCGGUUAAAGUUGAGGAUUGGGGGCCAUAGGGCUCUCAAAAUGCUUUUAAGGGGGGAGAACCUUGUUAGAACAAAGGCCAUAUACUCGCCUAUUAUCCCAGCUGUUCCCCAUGGCCAUAAACUCCCUUUCCCAUAUAUGAACAUAUAGCAAGACAAUCAAUCAAAGAGGCUCAACAAAUGUAUCCUAUUUACGGCCCCAACAGAUGUAUUCUAUAUACCCCUAAAAGGGAAUUUAAAAAUUCCAUAGGUCAGCAGAAUGUAUGCACGUUAAGUCAUUUGUUACUGGGUAUAAAAAGGCUUGCUCUACGCUUGUAAGGUGUGCUCCUCCCUCUGGCAUGAGUCGAGGGGGACACCCGCUCAGCUGACUGAUCAAUAAAGAACUUGAAGCCGUC